RNAcentral lists this transfer RNA (72 nucleotides) under Ornithorhynchus anatinus (platypus). It matches the Rfam family "tRNA". From Rfam's summary of the family: Transfer RNA (tRNA) molecules are approximately 80 nucleotides in length. Their secondary structure includes four short double-helical elements and three loops (D, anti-codon, and T loops). Lineage: Eukaryota; Metazoa; Chordata; Mammalia; Monotremata; Ornithorhynchidae. The record is from Rfam by way of RNAcentral.
AGCAGAGUGGCUCAAUGGAAAGAGCAUGGGCUUGGGAUUUAGAGGUCAUGGGUUUGAAUCCCUUGUCAGCUG